RNAcentral lists this small nuclear RNA (273 nucleotides) under Choloepus hoffmanni (Hoffmann's two-fingered sloth). RNAcentral describes it as "7SK RNA (ENSCHOG00000016158.1)". It matches the Rfam family "7SK RNA". From Rfam's summary of the family: 7SK was discovered as an abundant small nuclear RNA in the mid-70s but a possible function has only recently been suggested. Two independent studies have found that 7SK RNA binds the CDK9/cyclin T complex (known as elongation factor P-TEFb). Lineage: Eukaryota; Metazoa; Chordata; Mammalia; Pilosa; Megalonychidae. The record is from RNAcentral.
AGGUGACAUUGUUGUGACUUCUAUCGCCUCAUUGAUCCAGGUCUGAGCUGAAGAUCAGGUUGGCUAAGGUAGAGGUCCCAUCUUUACUCAAUUUCCUGCACACAUUCCUUCCCAAAGAUGAGAACUUAGACAAGAGAGAACGACAAUCCCAGCAUGCGGAGGGUCAGUGCUACAGCAGGGGAUACAUGAAUAGCUGCCUUUCUCUGACAGACCACCAAGCAUGUAGACAUGGAAAGGAAUGAGAAGGGAAACAAAAGGUUGAUUCUUGAGUUU